Molecule: non-coding RNA, 3837 nt
Organism: Ictidomys tridecemlineatus (thirteen-lined ground squirrel)
Lineage: Eukaryota; Metazoa; Chordata; Mammalia; Rodentia; Sciuridae
Source: RefSeq, a predicted model, not a curated record
CAGGUGGAGGAGCGCGGGCGGGAGCCGACCAGGCGCUUCUUCUGCCCCAGCAAUCCUCAAAUUGAGGCGCGGCAGCCUAGAGGUCUGCCUGGGCACCCGCAGGGUGAUCCCAGCCCAGGGGCCUGAUGAAGUGAGUGCAGAUUCCUCAUUCAAGUAUGGCUUGGGUUCGAGAAACGAAGGAAAGCCGACAGAGGCGCUACCCUGACUGGUUCGCUGCCCCUUUCGUCCUUCCAGAGUAUCAAGGUUCCGCCAGGCAGGAAGACUUGGAGCUGUCACUGCGUCAACCGAGCCCGGGGCAGGGGUCGUGCCCGCGGGUCCAGGUCUCUCUGCUGCCCAGGGUGGGGCUCCUGUCCAUGCCCACCCACUCUUUGUUGUGCAAUGAAAUCAGUAUCCGUUGCACUGAGACCUACAGACGGAAACCUGCGUCUGUGCCCUUUGCGUUAAAUUGGCCGGGGCUGGAGAGCUACUCCGAGGGCUCAGGCCCCAGCAGAGACCGGAGACGUGGGGCCUAGGGUCGCAGGGUCCAUGCCACCCCAGAGGAAAAGCCCUGCGGACCCAGCCUAGAUGGUGUGCUGGGCCUUCCGCCUUCUCGUCUCAGAAGUCGACAGCCUCUCUCCUGCUGGGCUUCCUGCCCCUGGGAGAUGUCCAGGAGGCUGCCCAGUCCUGCACCCCACUCGCUGCCCCGCAUGGGCAAGUGCUCACUGGCCACUGCCCCCAGGCUCUUUCUGGCCCUAGGUUCCUGUCUGGGUAGAAAAGAAAAUACACAUGGGCUUUCCCCGGAAGUCUGGAACUGUGGAACUGCUCAGGAGCGCUCUCCACUGGACUGAGACUCACAGACCUGACCCCACCCAACAGGUGGACCACUGAGUAGGUGAGGUGAGGUCUCUCUAGGUAUGUCCUCUGCUCCACCCUUGGUGGAAAUGUGUCUCAGAUUUAAUCAACAGCAGUAUGGAGGCCACGUGGGGAUGAUCCAACUCACUUCCCACGACACAGAAAGGGAAAUGAAGGUGAUCUGCUGGGACCAGCCCCAGCAGGGGACUCAGGGGACCUGGGGCAGGAGACUGGCCCUCCUGGGAGUUCAGUUAACACAACUGAGGUGAAGAGGAGAUCAGCCAUUCCUCAGCUCUACACUGGGGUCACAGGAGUCCCGACACUGAGUCUCCUGUCUCAGGCCCCCUUUACUCCUCUUCCCUCACCACGGGACUUUGCUGUGACAUGAGUGAUUCUGAGGACUGACACAAUUCCACAUUUCUGACCCAGGCUUUCCCCUCUGCUCCGCAGAGUCAAGGGUCCCGGCACCAAUGCCCUGUCCCAGAGUGUUGCCAGGAGAGUCCACUGCUCCCCAAGAUUUCCCAGGAAUGUGAGAAUAGCUGAUUCCGAACACAGAAGAAUGGUUGUCCCCGCAAUGGGCAGCCACCGGGGAGGGCCUUGCUGGGCCAUCGGCAGGCUCCAGGCUCCUGCGCUGCAGCUGCCUGGUGGCAAGGCAUUCUUGUGUCCUCUGGUCCUUGCAGGGUAAGAUCGAAACUGGGUCGGAAGUCCCGGACCUCUCCCGGUUGGAGCCCAGGAGGGGUUUGGCUCCUACACCCCUCCCAAAGCGACCCUCCAGAAGGUACUGGAAGUCCCCCACACCUCCUCGUAGGCUGAGCUCAAUAGAAUGGGCCGAAGGGCGGAGAAGCACUAGGGCUCCGCAACCGCUGCGGGGAGCAAUCAACGGAAUUUGUUUCCCAAGAUUUUUCUUUCGAUCCCAGAAACGUUAAAAAUCCGUCAACGACUCCUCCUGUCAAGUUUGCGCUGCCUGUGCACUUGAGCCACGCAGCCCUGGUGUAGAGGGUCCCCUCCCGCCGCCCUCACCCCCGGGGCCUCCAGCCCGCGCUGGCCGCGAUGACUUCGUUCCCGCGGCGGGCGCCCUGGCCUGCAGCGCUCGCCAAGCUGCGCGCAACAGAGCGGUCCAGGCGCGGCUCAGGACCGCUGACCACGUAGACGCGGCCGCCUCCUGUGCUCCCGGUUCCAGCCGCAGGCGGGCAGAGCCCUGACGGCAACGAAAAUGGCAAGUCAGCAUGGCUUUCCGGCCGGGGCUGCCGCCGAGGCCUGGGAGCCGCUGGGGGGGGAGCCGGAGCUCGCCCUCGGCGUCCCCAGAAGCCCCUAGCUGAGCGCCGUGGCGGAGCAGCGGGUGACUGAGCUGACUACGAAUCAACCCACACGCGGAUCCGCAUCUCGUUGUCCGGAGACUCUCAGCCGAGGACCGGGUCCCACGGGGCCCGAUUUUGUCUUUGUGGGUUCCGAACCCAAAUGGCCGAGGAGGAACCGCGGUGGAGUUUUUUCCACCGCCACCUCGGUUUCCCCUUCUACGUGUGACACAGGGCCAGCGGCACCUGUUCUCCUAUCAGGGAUUAUUGUGGGGUUGGCAGCAAAGAAUGGACGAAUGGGAAAUGCUAGCUCCGCGGAGCAGGAGACCCAGCGCAGCUCCACACUUGGGUCCAUGAUUUUGGGUGCAGAACAGAGGAAGUGCCCUGCCCGGAGCCUCCUGGGCUGCUCUGGGGCACUCUCUGCCCACCCCUGUCCCGUCGCCUGCUCCCUCCUCCCUGAUCCUUCCCACUCCCCAGCAGUCUUCCUCAGCUGGAUGGAGCAGGGUGUCUCCUCCACCUUUGGGCAUGUUUUACCUGGCAAGGACUGUUUUCUCAGGUUCCCUAGGGGGUUGGGGGGGGGCAGAAAUGUCACACAAUAGGCUCGAGCUCUGAGGAGGAAGAACUGGCAACAGAGCUGGUGCCAGCUAAGCUCAUAGGAAAGAACACCCGUGCAUUACCCAUCCUGUGCAUUACCCAUCCUGUGCAUUACCCAUCCUGUGCAUUACCCAUCCUGUGCAUUACCCAUCCUGUGCAUUACCCAUCCGGCUCCCGGUGUUGGGGACUUUUCCCUUCUAGGUGCAGGUUUCUGGCAUAUCCCAGAAUGUCUGGGCUAGGUCCUGAGGCUUGACCUUGGGAGUUGGGCUGCCCUUCUGGGUGAAGGUAGAGGUGGGAGUGGGGAGAACCAGGGGAGAGGACUGGGCCUGUGCCCACGUUCCAGCCCUCAGCCCUCAACCCUCUGAGCAGAAUGUGGGAGGCGGAGGAGAAGAGCCUGGGGUGGAUGGGGGACGCCCCACUGGACUGCUCCCCCCUCUGCUUUCUACUAAACCAAUAAUCAGCCACGGCUCAGGGAGCCGGCAAGAAAAGGCCAGAGACCAGGACGGCCCCAGGCAGGGAAAAAAUGACCAGUUCUGCAGAGUGACCCCAAGGUGACGGAUUCGGGCAGAGUGUCCUCUAUGAUGGGGGCCCUGCCCCCACCAGGGCUCUUGCACCCAUGCCCCAGGACUGGAAAAAUCCAGUGGGACUCUGACCCCUCCCAGGCUUUACAACCUGAGCUCCUGGGGCUCUGUGUCCCAGAGCCCUGAGGUUGUCCCCUUCCCUCCCACCAAGAUAGGAAGUAGCUCAAUGGCAAGGGACACAGCUGCAUUCAGCGUGGUAUCCCUGAAGUCCCCACAGGUGACCUCACUGAGGCCUGCUCCGUGCUGGGGACUGGAGAUCAGGGUGGAGAUGGUACAGCCUUGAGCAGCUGUCACAGGGACACACCUCCUGUGACAUCAGUGAAUUAUAAUGGGUACCCAGGCUGGUGGUGGGCAACAGGGAGGAUAGUCAGAGCGGAGAGCCAGGCUCACACCACUGGCUGGUGGUGGGGGGGCAGGGCAGGCACUUCCCCUGGUCAGACCCAGCCUUUGCCCCACUUCUGCUGGGACCCUGGGUUGGCCCAUCCAGAGCCCCUAUUCCCUAGCAUGAGAGGACACUACCAUGGCAGGGGAUGGCU